GAGGGUAUAGCUCAGUGGUAGAGGGCGUGCUCAGCAUGCACAAGGUCCUGGGUUCAAUCUCCAGUACCUCCA
RNAcentral lists this transfer RNA (72 nucleotides) under Camelus dromedarius (Arabian camel). It matches the Rfam family "tRNA". From Rfam's summary of the family: Transfer RNA (tRNA) molecules are approximately 80 nucleotides in length. Their secondary structure includes four short double-helical elements and three loops (D, anti-codon, and T loops). Further hydrogen bonds mediate the characteristic L-shaped molecular structure. tRNAs have two regions of fundamental functional importance: the anti-codon, which is responsible for specific mRNA codon recognition, and the 3' end, to which the tRNAs corresponding amino acid is attached (by aminoacyl-tRNA synthetases). tRNAs cope with the degeneracy of the genetic code in two manners: having more than one tRNA (with a specific anti-codon) for a particular amino acid; and 'wobble' base-pairing, i.e. permitting non-standard base-pairing at the 3rd anti-codon position. The record is from Rfam by way of RNAcentral. RNAcentral also lists the same sequence under 1 other name. Lineage: Eukaryota; Metazoa; Chordata; Mammalia; Artiodactyla; Camelidae.